RNAcentral lists this ribosomal RNA (1333 nucleotides) under uncultured bacterium. RNAcentral describes it as "bacterial SSU rRNA". It matches the Rfam family "Bacterial small subunit ribosomal RNA", at positions 28 to 1382 of the family's 1533-position model. The record is from RNAcentral.
GACGAACGCUGGCGGCGCGCCUAACACAUGCAAGUCGAACGAGAGAUGAGGAGCUUGCUCUUCAAAUCGAGUGGCGAACGGGUGAGUAACGCGUGAGGAACCUGCCUCAAAGAGGGGGACAACAGUUGGAAACGACUGCUAAUACCGCAUAAGCCCACGGCUCGGCAUCGAGCAGAGGGAAAAGGAGCAAUCCGCUUUGAGAUGGCCUCGCGUCCGAUUAGCUAGUUGGUGAGGUAACGGCCCACCAAGGCGACGAUCGGUAGCCGGACUGAGAGGUUGAACGGCCACAUUGGGACUGAGACACGGCCCAGACUCCUACGGGAGGCAGCAGUGGGGAAUAUUGCACAAUGGGGGAAACCCUGAUGCAGCGACGCCGCGUGGAGGAAGAAGGUCUUCGGAUUGUAAACUCCUGUUGUUGAGGAAGAUAAUGACGGUACUCAACAAGGAAGUGACGGCUAACUACGUGCCAGCAGCCGCGGUAAAACGUAGGUCACAAGCGUUGUCCGGAAUUACUGGGUGUAAAGGGAGCGCAGGCGGGAGAACAAGUUGGAAGUGAAAUCCAUGGGCUCAACCCAUGAACUGCUUUCAAAACUGUUUUUCUUGAGUAGUGCAGAGGUAGGCGGAAUUCCCGGUGUAGCGGUGGAAUGCGUAGAUAUCGGGAGGAACACCAGUGGCGAAGGCGGCCUACUGGGCACCAACUGACGCUGAGGCUCGAAAGUGUGGGUAGCAAACAGGAUUAGAUACCCUGGUAGUCCACACCGUAAACGAUGAUUACUAGGUGUUGGAGGAUUGACCCCUUCAGUGCCGCAGUUAACACAAUAAGUAAUCCGCCUGGGGAGUACGACCGCAAGGUUGAAACUCAAAGGAAUUGACGGGGGCCCGCACAAGCAGUGGAGUAUGUGGUUUAAUUCGACGCAACGCGAAGAACCUUACCAAGUCUUGACAUCCCUUGACGAUGCUGGAAACAGUAUUUCUCUUCGGAGCAAGGAGACAGGUGGUGCAUAGUUGUCGUCAGCUCGUGUCGUGAGAUGUUGGGUUAAGUCCCGCAACGAGCGCAACCCUUAUGGUCAGUUACUACGCAAGAGGACUCUGGCCAGACUGCCGUUGACAAAACGGAGGAAGGUGGGGAUGACGUCAAAUCAUCAUGCCCUUUAUGACUUGGGCUACACACGUACUACAAUGGCGUUAAACAAAGAGAAGCAAGACCGCGAGGUGGAGCAAAACUCAGAAACAACGUCCCAGUUCGGACUGCAGGCUGCAACUCGCCUGCACGAAGUCGGAAUUGCUAGUAAUCGUGGAUCAGCAUGCCACGGUGAAUACGUUCCCGGGCCUU